CGACCGGCGCACGGGUGAGUAACGCGUAUCCAACCUGCCCACCACUUGGGGAUAACCUGCGAAAGUAAGACUAAUACCCAAUGAUAUCUCUAGAAGACAUCUGAAAGAGAUUAAAGAUUUAUCGGUGAUGGAUGGGGAUGCGUCUGAUUAGCUUGUUGGCGGGGUAACGGCCCACCAAGGCAACGAUCAGUAGGGGUUCUGAGAGGAAGGUCCCCCACAUUGGAACUGAGACACGGUCCAA
RNAcentral lists this ribosomal RNA (241 nucleotides) under uncultured bacterium. RNAcentral describes it as "partial 16S ribosomal RNA". It matches the Rfam family "Bacterial small subunit ribosomal RNA", at positions 92 to 334 of the family's 1533-position model. The record is from RNAcentral.